UGAGGAAUAUUGGGCAAUGGGCGAAAGCCUGACCCAGCAACGCCGCGUGGAGGAUGAAUGUCGUAAGAUUGUAAACUCCUUUAGGGUGGGACGAAAAACCAUUGGGAAUUGACUGUACCACCAGAAUAAGCCCCGGCUAACUACGUGCCAGCAGCCGCGGUAAUACGUAGGGGGCAAGCGUUGUCCGGAUUUACUGGGUGUAAAGGGCGCGUAGGCGGGCUUGUAAGUCAGAGGUGAAAUCCUGCGGCUCAACCGUAGAACUGCCUUUGAAACUACAAGUCUUGAGUUCGGAAGAGAGAGAUGGAAUUCCAGGUGUAGUGGUGAAAUACGUAGAUAUCUGGAAGAACACCAGUGGCGAAGGCGAUCUCUUGGUCCGUAACUGACGCUGAGGCGCGAAAGCGUGGGGAGCGAACAGGAUUAGAUACCCCUGUAGUCC
This 436-nucleotide ribosomal RNA is filed under the name uncultured prokaryote. Its description in RNAcentral is "bacterial SSU rRNA". It matches the Rfam family "Bacterial small subunit ribosomal RNA", at positions 355 to 796 of the family's 1533-position model. The record is from RNAcentral.